GUGAGGAAUAUUGGUCAAUGGGCGGGAGCCUGAACCAGCCAAGUCGCGUGAAGGAAGAAGGAUCUAUGGUUCGUAAACUUCUUUUGCAGGGGAAUAAAGUGCAGGACGUGUCCUGUUUUGUAUGUACCCUGAGAAUAAGGAUCGGCUAACUCCGUGCCAGCAGCCGCGGUAAUACGGAGGAUCCGAGCGUUAUCCGGAUUUAUUGGGUUUAAAGGGUGCGUAGGUGGUUUGAUAAGUCAGCGGUGAAAGUUUGCAGCUUAACUGUAAAAAUGCCGUUGAAACUGUCGGACUUGAGUGUAAAUGAGGUAGGCGGAAUGCGUGGUGUAGCGGUGAAAUGCAUAGAUAUCACGCAGAACUCCUAUUGCGAAGGCAGCUUACUAAGCUACAACUGACACUGAAGCACGAAAGCGUGGGGAUCAAACAGGAUUAGAAACCCGAGUAGUCC
RNAcentral lists this ribosomal RNA (445 nucleotides) under uncultured bacterium. RNAcentral describes it as "partial 16S ribosomal RNA". It matches the Rfam family "Bacterial small subunit ribosomal RNA", at positions 354 to 796 of the family's 1533-position model. The record is from RNAcentral.